CUCUUUUCAAUCCAGAUAUUUUCAGUAGUUUUAUGUGAAAUUGUACCAUGAAUUCUUUAUGUCCCCACCCUCUGAGGAAAAGAAGUAUAUCAUAGUGGUCAGCCUGACACACAGACAAAUGUGCCAUUUUCUUUCAGCUCCUUCUAGGAGCACAGAGACACCCUGAAUUUCAGAUACCCACAAUGCCCCAGAUUUCUGAAUAACAAAAACAGCAAAUAUAUGUAAAUGAUCAGUACCAAAUGUCUAGAGAAGGAGUAAUUCUCCCCUAUUCCUCAUGUAUGAGCACAUGCAAGAAAAAGGAGGGCACCCUGGGGCUUGUUUAUCCUGGCUCCCGGACUGACUGCUUUGGAAGUAUGCAAGCCAAUAAUGACUAAUGUUCUCAAGUAUUACUUAUUACUCAUAUAGCAUAAUAACAAUAAAUACUCAGAGGCCCACACACUAUUUGUUUGUUCUGCUAUUUGAACCACAAUUUAAUGUCUACCCAGCAUGGCAUCUCCAUAAAAGAACUAUUAGCUUUCUGAGCUAAACUAUAUUUAAAGAGCAGUCAAUUCUAUGGAUUCUUAGCUCUUAAUUUGCAGCUAAGUUCCAAUUAAAUCUGUGCUGUAUUUAAUCAAGUUAAAUUACAGAGACUGUUGAAUUUGAAACAAAUUUACAAUGACUGUCUGGAAGCCAGUUAGACUAUGACUUGUACAGAUCCCGAUUACAGAAGGCUGUGGUGAUAUUUGGAAUUAUAGAGCAUAAAUCAAUAUACUUUCUAUGAGAAGGUACCACUAACGAUGUCUGCACCGCAUGUAUUUAUUGAAGGCUCACUGUUGGUCAGGACAUGGUGGGGAUCUCCAAAAUAUACACACAGGACUGUUUAUGCAAAUAAGAAAUGAGACCACUUAGAGUGUUCCUGCUGAGGGACUUACAAAUGGAACUCAAAGUGACAGUUUAUAAUAUCACAGUCCUCAUAACGAUCAUAAGUCAGGACCCACUGUUCUUAUUUAACCUAGGCUAACUCUAUGUGACCUUAGUGACCAGGAAUCAAUUUGCAGCCAUCCCCUCUGAAACUGAGAAGGAGCACAAUGUUACCUGAGCUUUCCUGUUGGGGAUUAUCCUCUUUGGGACUUAGAAUAUCAAGCAGUUUCCUUAAGAAGAGAAUUGAGACUGUGUAGCUUCUUUCUAUAUCAAACUUUAUGAAGGCUGAAGGGACUUGUUUUUAUUAUUGAGCGUUCAAGAUACUUCAGAACAGAAAAGAGUGACAAAGGUCCCUCCUGAGGUAAUACAUGGCCACGGCAUAUCAACCUAUACAAGGAAGAUUGAAUAACUAAUGACUCAUGAAAACUGUCCAAAAAAUGGCAUAACUGAUUGUCACCCAGGACUUGAGUGGCAGCUUGUCAAUGCACCUCUGUUGAUCAUAUAUGAAGUUGGAGGGAUUUAAAUGACCUCUUAUUCUAGUUACAUGCAGUGUGUGGAAGAAAUCAUUGUGACUUUGAGGACUUCAGUGUUGAAUUAAGCUCCCUUGUAACUCUCUGCCUCUUAUCCUAACUGGGACUGCUACUCAGAUUCAAAUGGGAAGACUUGGGCAGGGCUGGUCAAGUCAAGUGUAAUGGGGAGGGCUGGGAAGGUAUUGGGCCAUAGGUUCCCUGAGACCCCAUUCCAGAAACCUGGUAUAGACAGCCCUAUCCAGAAGUCUGAGCAUUUAGAAACAGCAUUCUAGAUCUUCCUGCAGACCAGCAUUCCAGAGACCUCUCCAGAACUUUUGACUCUGCUUUCAUUAAAUCAUGUUGACUGUACCUGCUUACCUCUUAUGCCCUCCAUAUGUGUGUUUUGGCAUAUGUUGUUACAAUCCACUUCAAAAGACAAAUAUUUGC
This 1856-nucleotide long non-coding RNA is filed under the name Marmota monax (woodchuck). The record is from RNAcentral. Lineage: Eukaryota; Metazoa; Chordata; Mammalia; Rodentia; Sciuridae.